Molecule: non-coding RNA, 2315 nt
Organism: Aegilops tauschii subsp. strangulata
Lineage: Eukaryota; Viridiplantae; Streptophyta; Magnoliopsida; Poales; Poaceae
Source: RefSeq, a predicted model, not a curated record
CUCUCGUCCCACUGAUUUUCUUUCCCCCCUCCCGGUUUUCUCCCUCACGGUUUUCAAGAGGCUUGCAUCUCACGCCGGCGUCCAGCGCCACCGCUACCGACCUCCAGCCUUCGUCCCGUAACUCCUCCCGCGCGCCCUAUCUCUCUUCUUCUCCCUUCUCCCUUCCCGACCUCUCUCUCACAAAUCUUGUCUCUGGGCCAUGGAUCCCGAUGGAGCACCAUGGAUCCCGAUGUGGAGCUCCACUGCGGCCAGAUCUGACCUGGGAGCGGCCAGAUCCGUGCGUCUCGAGCGACGCCACACCACAUCCUUCGUCCUCGCAGCCGCCGCCGAUCCCCUCCCUCAAACGCCGCCGCCCGUCGCGGCCGCCCCCGCCACCUCCCGUCGCGGCCGCCCCCGCCACCCCCCGUCGCGGGCAGGCGGGAGGAGCCCUGCCCGGCCAUGGCGACACCGCCGGCGGCUUCCUCCUCCCCCUCACCUUCUCUCCCUCUCCCAAGGGAGGGAAGGGAAUGGAGGGGAUCCGGCGGCAAGGGGGGGCAGCGCCCAGAUCCGCAGCCGCACCGGCGGGCCGCCGUCCCUCGAGAUCGUCCAUGGAGGUCCGACCCGGCUGCAGCCAUGGACUGAGAUGCCCAAAACCCUAGCUAACCGUGGAGGUCCGACGCCUCAACCUCCAAGGAAAGGACGCGCGCCGACUGCAGGCCGUCUCCGGCGACCUCCGACCAUGGUUGCUCGGAUCUGGACCAGCUGCUGCUCCUACUGCUUCAGGUGGACGAGGACGAGCCCUCCCUCAUGGCUGCUGCGGCUGCCUACUCCCUCCUCCUACCCCCUGGCCUGGUGUGGUGAGCUCCACCCCCUUCCCUGCACAUCUCAUCUUUUGAUUGCAAAUGGUCUGGACACAACUUGGUGGUGUUUGCUAAUGUGCUCCUUUUGUGAAUUAAGAUCAUUCAGAGAUGAACAUGACUGUAGCUUGCAUUGCAUGUACGGUGGUGUACCUCUUGAGUCGGAGAAUAUCUCAGAAUUCAUUGACUUGCAGCUAUGGCAAUGACUAACACAGUUUUUCUUUCUGUUUCGUUCCAACAUUCUGGUUGGUACUGGUGAAGAUUUUCUUCUUCAAUAAAAUACAUAGAAGCAAAUCAGAUUGGUCGCAAAUAUCAUGCUACUUCAGCAGAAAUUAUGUUUUCCAACUGAAAUCAUUUUUUGCUUACUAGGCGCUAGCUAUCCCUGACAACAAGGAAAGAGAUGCAGGCAAGAGGAAGAAAGCCUCUCCCAAGCUCUGUCUAUGCGAUGCACGGGCAAUCCGGAAACUGUCAAGGAGGUGUCGAAUGAUGAAUAUAUUCAGAUACCGAGACAUGUUCUAAAACGUGUUUUGGCAGGCAUUCUGGAUCAUACUAAGAUACUUCGGAGAGAUGUCCCAGAUUUAUUCUUUUGAAUUUCACUAAUUUCUUUCCAUGGCUUCAAAUUCACCAGUGAUGGGGCUGCCGCCAACUUGGGGCUGCUCAAGAACAGUGACUCUACAGGAGGGGGAUGGAGUUUCGGAAUCUCCUGUGCUAUUGGGAGCGACAGUUCCACAAUGAGAUGGUCUUUCGUCACCUCUGAGUAGGAGGAUGUCCAAGGCCGGGAUCGUUCGUCACCACUGAGCUGCGGCUGAGAUAAUACUAUUGCUCAGUCCAGAUCUGGAUAUCUCAUCUCUGAACAUUUGAAAUGCCGAGUACUCCAUGAAAGCUUGCCUAGCCGCUUUCUUGCAACAUUAUAUCUUUGGACGUUUGCACUUCCGCGGCUCUAGACAUGAGCUUCCUUAUAUGGUUGCGAACCGGAUGUGCCGUCGACGACGAUGGCGAGUUUGGAUUGGGAAUGCGAAGAUGAGAAGAUAGUUGGGGACGAAGAAGGUAUAAAAUCGAAAAUAUCAUCUGAUGUGCGUGAGGAUCCUAAUGGUACAUGCUUGAUGCGAUCGGUGCUAACCUAAUAAGAUAUAUGCGGUGGCGCGAGGUAGGGGCGGCAAUGAGGCGGUUGUGCUACAUGAGGCAGCCAAGACCGAGGCUGCAUCGGGGAGGCUCCCGUUGGGGCAACGCAUGGGCGGCAGCCACCCCCAAGACCCUGUUAGCACAAUGUCAUAACAAUAUAUUUAUACUGAUUGUUGUGCAAAGGAGAAGGCUAUUGUUUGUAGUUAUAUUAGUUUAUUUCCUCAGUAUACAAUGACCUGGCUUAUUCUAUGUCAAAGAGGAAGGAAACAUAUAUUUCUAGGUGUUAUGUGACUCAUGCUAUUGUAGCCAUAAAAAGAAAGGCCAUCAUGGAGUAUAUAUAACAUCGUCUUGCUAUUA